Molecule: long non-coding RNA, 650 nt
Filed under: Struthio camelus australis
Lineage: Eukaryota; Metazoa; Chordata; Aves; Struthioniformes; Struthionidae
Description: lncRNA (ENSSCUG00000002227.1)
Source: RNAcentral
CUCCUUGUUUUAUAUAUGUAAAUGUCUGAAAUAAAAGUACAAAGUUGUAACUAGUACAGUUGUAACUAUUCUGUAACUGAUGUUGAAUGUUUUCCUCUUUAGUCUCAUCUGACAGUGAGAAGUAUGAACAGUUCUUCUUGGGGAUGACUGGAUGCUGAGGAAAUCUGUGCUCUUUCAGAUCACUCUUCCCAGUUUACACUAGAUGAGGGACAGUGGUAACAUGCUGGAGCUCUGUGUGACUCAUCACUAUCACCUUGGGAAAACGUUUUGAAAGCGAUUUUGAAUUUGUUGUCAACCAGGAUCUCUACAGACCACGUGCACUAACCAGGCAGUUUUGUUUCAGAGGACUAAACUUCAGAAAUAAUUUCAAAUUGAUUUAUCGUUCCCAGGAAACUUUUAGAAGCUGAAACAAGCAAGGAAUUGGGUAAGCUUAAAAAAAAAAAAAACUUUCAGUUUUUCUAAGUCUAAAAAAUUCCCUCUUGAGUAUUAUCUACUUUAAAAAUUUUGUUUCUUAGUCAGAGUGUGACUAUUCAUUCAAGAUAAGCAGAAGUGACAUGCACCUCAACAAAGAGAAGAAAGGUAAUAUGAUGAUAUGAAUAGGUAUAUUAUGAUAUUAAAAGGUAAUAUGAUGAGUAUAAUGUACAGCCAGC